AUGGCGAGCGACCCCGGCGGCGACGGCGACGCGUGCCCGCUAUGCGGCAGCGGGGAUGACCAGGCGCCGGUGACGGCCGCCCCUGCGCGCGUCACGCUCCGCAAGCGGAACCUGCCAGCGGAGGCCGUCGCGCGGGUGGGGCCCGGCGACGAGGCGGCCGCGCCGCGUGAGGCGGUCGCGUGGCAGCAGAGCGGCAUGGUGGAGCUGCAGGAGGAGCUCGAGGCGGAGCGCCGCGCCGCUGCCGAGGCCGCCAGCGAGGCCAUGUCCAUGAUCCUGCGCCUGCAGCGGGACAAGUCAGAGGCCAUGAUGGAGGCGCGCCAGUUCCGGCGGUUCGCCGAGGAGCGGUUCGCGCACGACGCCUCCGAGGUCGCCGCCCUCCACGACGCCAUCGCGCGGCGUGAUGCCUCCAUCCAGUCGCUCUCGGAGCAGCUCCGGGUGUGCCGCUCCCGCCUCAUCCAGCUCGGGUUCCUCUCCCCGUCGUUCCUCCCCUCAUCUCCCACAGCCGCCGCGGGGGACAACCUCUUCGCUGACGACUACCCUUCCAUCCAAUGCCUCGAUUAUCCUGCGCCCUCCGACGUCGGUACUCCACGCACCCACCACAUGCUCUAUACAAUGCCCGGCCGAGAUGCCCAUAAGGGGGUCAUCUGCUCUUCACCACGGCGCCAGCGCCAUGGGCGCGCACUCUCCAAUGACAGCUUGUAUGAUGGCGGCAUUGCAGCGGCUGAUGAGUUCACGUACGUGGUGGAGCAGGACGUGUCGGAACUGGAUGAUGACUGCGACCGGGUGUACACUGUGGACGCAGUGCAUCGCGUGCCUGUCGCCGCACCUGAGGACUGCUGCUACUUUCAGACACCGAUGGGGAACGACGUGGGCUUUGUUGAUGGGGUUGGGGCGUGGGCUGAGGAGCAGCGGAUACAAAAGCUCAGUGCAAGGCUACAAGCGCUGGAGGCAGAUCGGGAGUCGAUGCGGCAUGCAAUCAUGUCAAUGGGAGCAGAGAAGGCGCAGGUUGUGAUGCUCAAGGAUAUCGCUCACCAGCUCUGCGAGGAGGCAGCACCAUUGCCUGCAGUUUCAUUGAAAUUGCAUCCAGUGCCGCAAGCGGUAGUAGCGCCAAAGAGGAAGUUGGUGAAGAGGCAGCCUUUCUGCGUGAAAUUCUUCAUUGUGACCGCAAUUAAGUGGAUUGUAUCUGUCUUUUCCCGGCAAAAGAAAUUAGAUCGCAUCAAGUACCCAUUUGGCUUGUGCGGGAGCUAUGUUGGACUAAUGCUGCUGCUUGAUAGGUCCCACAAACAGAGAUACAGAAGAUUUCUUAAGAGAGCUAGGUGA
Molecule: ribosomal RNA, 1320 nt
Filed under: Triticum aestivum (bread wheat)
Lineage: Eukaryota; Viridiplantae; Streptophyta; Magnoliopsida; Poales; Poaceae
Description: partial small subunit ribosomal RNA
Source: RNAcentral